Molecule: small nuclear RNA, 85 nt
Filed under: Vulpes vulpes (red fox)
Lineage: Eukaryota; Metazoa; Chordata; Mammalia; Carnivora; Canidae
Source: RNAcentral
GUACUCACUUUGGCAGCAUGUAUACUAAAACUGAAACAAUACAGAGAAGAUUAGCAUGACCUCUAUGCAAGGGUGACACACUAAA